Molecule: unclassified non-coding RNA, 88 nt
Organism: Chlorocebus sabaeus (green monkey)
Lineage: Eukaryota; Metazoa; Chordata; Mammalia; Primates; Cercopithecidae
Source: Ensembl
CUUCAUAUGGGUGCACCUGGUGGUUUGCCCAGAGUCCAGGUUGUAUCAUGUGCCUCUUGGUGUAGACGCUGUAUCUUUUUUUUUUUUU